Molecule: non-coding RNA, 622 nt
Organism: Danio rerio (zebrafish)
Lineage: Eukaryota; Metazoa; Chordata; Actinopteri; Cypriniformes; Danionidae
Source: RefSeq, a predicted model, not a curated record
AAGACACAAUACCUACUCAUACUUGCACUAGUAGGUCUACACUAGUAGCAUAAUUAUUUAAGAGACAUGUUUCAGCUGAUGAGCAUCUAAUUGUGUUCAGCAACACAAAUAUUUAUGACCUGUUGAUCUACAGAAUGUCAGAGAAGCAAGGAAAAGACUCUCCGCUUGAGAUGAGUCUUUCAGAGAAACACAGUGUAAGAUCAGGUUCACAUGUGUCCAGCUCUGUGUCUGUGAAGAGUGACUGGUCAAAAGGUAGCAUACUCAACUUCAAUGAGAAGAAAACAUCCUCUGACAAAAGGUAUUUCUCAUGUUGUAUAACACUGCAUUUUUUUCUUCACAGUGGAAUGCACUAGAACCUGAUUAAAGAUACUGAGAAAUGAACACAUUGUUUGGUAAACUUUACUAAACUCUGUCUUAAUCUUUUUACUGAGAGAAAAACAAACAUAAGGCAAACAUUCACAAUCAAAAAUAAAUCAUGCAUUGAAACUUGAAAUUCUCUUUUAAUAAUUCGUUCAGUAUCUCUCUAUGGAAACCACCUCGAGCUUGACCAAUCGCAACAGUUACAUCACAUCUGUUGGCUGACAGACCAAUCACAGCAGUAAUAAAAAGCACCUGCCUUAGA